GGAAACGUAACCCCCAAACGUAGAGGGAUAAGCACCAGAAAUGGUGUCUAAUACCGCAUGUGGCCCACGGGCUAAAGCUUUAUGCGCUUUGGGAACGGCCUGCGCAAGAUUAGCUUGUUGGUGAGGUAAUGGCUCACCAAGGCGACGAUCUUUAGCUGGUCUGAGAGGAUGACCAGCCAGACUGGGACUGAGACACGGCCCAG
RNAcentral lists this ribosomal RNA (203 nucleotides) under uncultured bacterium. RNAcentral's name for it is "partial 16S ribosomal RNA". It matches the Rfam family "Bacterial small subunit ribosomal RNA", at positions 120 to 334 of the family's 1533-position model. The record is from RNAcentral.